RNAcentral lists this transfer RNA (74 nucleotides) under Thermodesulfatator indicus DSM 15286. It matches the Rfam family "tRNA". Rfam says of the family: Transfer RNA (tRNA) molecules are approximately 80 nucleotides in length. The record is from Rfam by way of RNAcentral. Lineage: Bacteria; Pseudomonadati; Thermodesulfobacteriota; Thermodesulfobacteria; Thermodesulfobacteriales; Thermodesulfatatoraceae.
CGGGACGUGGCUCAGCCUGGUAGAGCACUGGGUUCGGGACUCAGGGGUCGCAGGUUCAAAUCCUGCCGUCCCGA